UUGAGAAGUGCAGUAUUUCGUGGAGAUUAAAUAUUUAGGUUCAGAAUACUAUGUUAAAAAACAAAAUAAUAUUGCUUUUAUUUCCAUCAAUAGAUAGAAUCAAUAGUACCAGAAAAAGGGUAUUAAUUUCAUCACAUCAGAGAUAUACAAGAAUAAAAAUGAGAGAUUUUAAGUGAUGAGUAUAUUUUGAAUCCCAACAAACAAACAUAAUCAUUUCUCUUUGGAGAAUAAGGUUACAAAGGGACAAGAUUUGAUGUAAAACCAACGCCCCUUUUCCAUUAAAUUAACACCUAAUUAACAAGUUAUCUAGCUAUCUAUCUUUUCAACUAUAUAUUUAUAAUUAGUAAUCCUAAUUGCUAUAGCUAUAACAAUGAUAAAGUAUUUAGUGUAGCCUCAUAAAUAGGAUUUAAGAAGAAUGAUGUGUAGACAGAUCUAUCUUAUUCGAUUAAUAGAGAGAUUGUUUCUGAUAGAUCGUCGAACAAAUAAAGCAUAUCAAAGUAGAUUUGAAAAAAAAAUACAGUAAUGAAAAACUCAUAUUGAAAAUAGUAAUAACAACAACAAAUAAUAUAAUCAUUGUAACCAUAUUUAUAUGGCAAUUACAAUUUAAUACAGGCGUAUGAAUUAGAAAUCUUUGCUCAUGAGAUAGACUUUUGAUUGGUUCCGCGAAUUCAAGCAAAAAAUAAAUAAAUUAUUCGCAUAGUAGUGGAUAAGAUGUGCAGCAAAUCAAGGAUUAUAGAAGGCUUCAAAGGUAAAGAUUUCCAUUAAAACACUUUGCGAGUUCGUAAGUAAAUUUUCUUAAAUUAUGUCCAAAAAAAAGGUCCAAACUUAUAGAAUUUGUUCUGCAGAAAUAACUGAAAAUGUGGUACACAUUGAUUUGAAGUAUUUUUAAAAAGUGAUGAAAUUUCUUUAAAUUUCUGAAAUAGAGAAAUGUAAUAAUAGAAAAAUGUGAAUUAUUUGAUACAACUCAUUUACAACUAUGCAAACAGACCAACUAAUUCAAUAUUGGAAAUCAGCUAAAAUACAAUCCAAAAACACAAUAUAUUUGAUAAUUAUUUGUGAAUACGUUAUUCUUAUGUUGCCAAUAUAGAUUAGAUUGACAAGCCAACAAAUAUGAAGUUAAAAAAUGUAAAUAAUUAACACACCAUAAAAAUGAUUAUAACUAACUAAGAUCACUGUUAUUAUUUUUUCGCAUGUUUCAGGAAAAUUAAAGAAGAGAAAAAGAAAGAGAAGAUGUCUUUUUUCAUAAUGAAAGAAAAAUCAAGAAGUAGGAACACACAAUUCAGGAUCUCGAAUCGUAUUUGUUUCACCAGUCAUCUCUGUAUUAUAAUCACAUGUAUAUAAAAAAUGAAUUAUAUGGAAAUUAAUCAGAACACUAAUGGCCUACUUAUAGAAGUACAAAAAAUAUGAGAAGCCCAAAAAAUUUCAUUAAGAAAGCAUCAUCCUGAUAUAUAUCCCUCAAAGAGCAAACAAACAUUUAUUUCAUUACAUGGUUAUAGAAAUAUUCAGAAACUCACCAGCUAGCUCCUUGAUAUAUAUGCUAGUUACACCAACAUAGUAAAUAUAUCUCGGACCAAACAACAUAAUAAUGAUGAAUCACACAGAAAAUUAAAAUAAAAAAAUAAAACACAAAAAUUAAAGCAACGAACUCAUCACAUGUCAUGGGAUGGUUGAUAUAUCGUGCUUUAAUUUCUUCUUCUAACUAGCUAAAAAAAUGUGAAAUAUAGUACUUAUAGAAAGAUGAUUAAGAAAAAAGAAAAAUAUUUUCUCAAACGUGCACACAAGAUCUAAAGAACAAUAGUAUUAUAAUUAGUCGGACCAGUAGGCUUCGAUUCCCAGGAGGAAGAGAAAGAGAGACAUAAAGAAGAUUAAGAAGAAAUCAACCACCAUAAUAUUCAUUAACCAUUUAACCUUCUUCACUAAUCAUAGUUGUGAACUGUGAAGUAGCUAGCUAGGGUUUCUUCUUUUUCUUCGAAGUGCUCAUCUUCAAUCUACAAGAAAAACACCUUCUUCUUCUUGAUCUUCCUUUUCUCUAACCCUUUUCUUAUUUCUCCUUAUAGUUAUGAUCUUUAAAGUCUUUGGUUGGGUUUUCAUGAGAAGGUAAAAGAAAAAAAGUUUAAUAAGAUGACGAAAGUGAGGAAAUAAUGAUGAGAUCAAGAGGUUAUUAGAGGACAUGAUGAUUACUAGAUGGUAUUUCUUUUUUUUUUUUUCUCUUUUUUUCGCUUUGGUUUGAGAAAUUAGAGAGAGGAAAACUAUAGAGGCAAAUUCUCAAGAAACAUUCAAAAAAAAAUAAAAAAAAAAAAAAAAAAAAAAAACUUUUCUUCCUCUUGAUCUUUCUUCUAUACCAUCAUGAGAGAAAAACAGCGUAGAGAGAGAAGGAGCUUUAAUUCUUUCUCUUUUCUUGAAGUUAUGCGACUUUUUCCUUCUAUUUUAAAACAAUAAAAUAUGUGAUGGUUAACAUCUUUUUACUUUUAAUCAAAGUUUUUGAGUUUCAGUUUUGAGUAUAGGAAAAAAAAUUAUAUUGUUGAGAGUGUCAUUCGUGAAAAUGAA
This 2547-nucleotide long non-coding RNA is filed under the name Capsicum annuum. RNAcentral describes it as "long non-coding RNA (CANN_LNC017726)". The record is from RNAcentral. Lineage: Eukaryota; Viridiplantae; Streptophyta; Magnoliopsida; Solanales; Solanaceae.